This 377-nucleotide ribosomal RNA is filed under the name uncultured bacterium. RNAcentral describes it as "bacterial SSU rRNA". It matches the Rfam family "Bacterial small subunit ribosomal RNA", at positions 521 to 896 of the family's 1533-position model. The record is from RNAcentral.
UAAUACAGAGGGUGCAAGCGUUAAUCGGAAUUACUGGGCGUAAAGGGCGCGUAGGUGGUUUAUUAAGUCAGAUGUGAAAUACCUGGGCUUAACCUAGGAAUUGCAUUUGAUACUAAUUGGCUAGAGUAUGGGAGAGGGAAGUGGAAUUUCCGGUGUAGCGGUGAAAUGCGUAGAUAUCGGAAGGAACACCAGUGGCGAAGGCGACUUCCUGGCCCAUUACUGACACUGAGGCGCGAAAGCGUGGGGAGCGAACAGGAUUAGAUACCCUGGUAGUCCACGCCGUAAACGAUGAGAACUAGAUGUUAGGGGGCUUAGACUCUUUAGUAUCGUAGCAAACGCGUUAAGUUCUCCGCCUGGGGAGUACGGCCGCAAGGUUA